RNAcentral lists this ribosomal RNA (207 nucleotides) under uncultured bacterium. Its description in RNAcentral is "partial 16S ribosomal RNA". It matches the Rfam family "Bacterial small subunit ribosomal RNA", at positions 568 to 774 of the family's 1533-position model. The record is from RNAcentral.
CUCGUAGGCGGUUCGUCGCGUCCGGUGUGAAAGUCCAUCGCCUAACGGUGGAUCUGCGCCGGGUACGGGCGGGCUUGAGUGCGGUAGGGGAGACUGGAAUUCCCGGUGUAACGGUGGAAUGUGUAGAUAUCGGGAAGAACACCAAUGGCGAAGGCAGGUCUCUGGGCCGUUACUGACGCUGAGGAGCGAAAGCGUGGGGAGCAAACA